UGGGCGUGAGUGAGGAGGGGGGCAGAUGGGAGGGGCAGUGACCCUGGGCCCAGCAGAUAUCCAGGGAAGUGGCCUGGGAGGUAGGUCCCCAACUCUUCCUUUCCCGUGUCUUCACUGCCGUUUUCCAGGGAUGCCUGUUCCUGCUGGGGUAGCCAGCUGUGAUCAGGUCAGGGUGGAAAGUGACCCCUGGGAGACCUGAGGCCUGAGGCCCUGGGCUUCCGCUUGACCUGGCUGGGUCGGCCGUGGGAGGCAGAGCCUGGCUCUGUUUAUCCAGGCCGGACACUUCCGGAGCAGAUGGGCGCCUGUCAGAGCCGCCAGCCAGGAACUGGGCUGACGUCCUCUCAUUGCCAAGUGGCAGUUCUGGGGCCAGCAUUGAACUCAAGGUGUCAGCAAGGCUCCCGCCGGAGGUCCUGGUGGAGGGUCUGCUCCAGGCCGCGCUCCUGGCUUCUGGUGGUUGCCAGCAACCCUCCACCGCCCUCCAGAUAUUGUUGAAAAGAGGCCCAGAGAGAGCCUGAUGCUGGAUCUCCAGGCGUUUAAAGCAGAGGUUCUAAGACGUGUUAUUAAAGGGAGGGAGGAGGGAGUUGCCCAACAUAACCUCUUCCCAUUAUCCUCUUUAUGUAAAGGCACCCAGACUCUGUCCUUCUGUGUGUACAAAUAAAUGUCACUAAAGAUCCCGAAGGGUAAACAUUAGGUAUCAGUGGCUGCUUCUGGACAGGAUCUAGCGUUGAGGGCAUCAAGGAAGGACUUUUCCUUGUUGCUACCUCUGUGUUAGUGUGGCUUGAAUGUUUCCAAUGAAAGUGGAUUCAAAUGAUAAUUGUGUGUUAAAUUAAAAUCUUUUCAAAGAAAGGCUCUUGAUGUUCUGGGAGUUUCAGAUCCCUUCAAGAAGUUCCUGAAAACCACGGUCUAUCUCUCCCCAGUGCACCUGCUCACCACAAGAAUCCCCAGCCUGAGGGAGGGGCAGACCCCUGGCCCGGAAGCAGACCAGCUCCUUCUUCCGGAGAAGCCCAGCUGCUGCCACCAGCCAGGCUGCUGGGAUGCUCCUUUUCCCCUCUCCCCACUCCACAUCCGGGCACCCAGAAAAUUCUAGCUGAAUUGUUCUCCCGACCAGUGGUUCCCAGACGGAUG
Molecule: non-coding RNA, 1125 nt
Organism: Chlorocebus sabaeus (green monkey)
Lineage: Eukaryota; Metazoa; Chordata; Mammalia; Primates; Cercopithecidae
Source: RefSeq, a predicted model, not a curated record